CCUACGGGAGGCAGCAGUAGGGAAUAUUGGGCAAUGGUCGCAAGACUGACCCAGCCAUGCCGCGUGCAGGAAGACGGCCCUCUGGGUUGUAAACUGCUUUUAUCUGGGAAGAAAAAGUCCAUGCGUGGAAAGUUGCCGGCACCAGAUGAGUAAGCACCGGCUAACUCCGUGCCAGCAGCCGCGGUAAUA
Molecule: ribosomal RNA, 189 nt
Filed under: uncultured bacterium
Lineage: Bacteria
Description: partial 16S ribosomal RNA
Rfam family: Bacterial small subunit ribosomal RNA
Source: RNAcentral